Taeniopygia guttata (zebra finch) is the source of this 721-nucleotide non-coding RNA. Lineage: Eukaryota; Metazoa; Chordata; Aves; Passeriformes; Estrildidae. The record is from RefSeq and is a predicted model, not a curated record.
AGGCUUGUGGGUCUGAAUGCAGCAGUGAGGCCACAGCAAUGCCCAUCCCUGGGCUGUUGCCUCCAAUCUUCCUUUCACAGAAGACCUGUCUAAGUGUCUGAGGAACAGCCUCACCAGUGCACUAAGCUGUGUUUCCCUGCUGGGCCAUGCUAUCCACAGAUUUAUUUCACUAAGGCGGUCACAACACAAAGUACUAUACCUACAAGCAGAAGUAUUUGCUGUAAAUUGGAUGAAGAAAUCCCCAAAGGACAGGGAGUGGUUCUUUUCCUGAUUUGUGUGUACAGAAGAAGGAAAAGCUUAGAGAAAAAAGACAUUGACGUGGAGGAGUUUAAACUGAGAAGUAAACAUAAAGGUGUGGAUUGAAUCUCUGGUUCAGGAUGUGCCUGGUCUACAGGCUGCCAAAGCCUGGUUUUCCCUCUGCAACACUAUCCAUAGCCAGAGGCACCGAGCAGCAGGCAACUGGGAGCUUUAAUUUCCAAGUUUUCUCUCAGUGAAGACCAGCAGCUGAUAGCAGUACUGACACUGGUGGUGGGAUUCUGGUAUUUCACCAGCACAGCUCAAGUGAACCAGUCUGCUAUGAAACCUUCCCAUGGAAAGGCUCUGCAAGUCAGGCUUCCCUCCAGAGGUCACCAGAAAGCCAUGGCUCAGACUGCCAACCAACAACCAAAUUUCAUGGACACAAUAUAGAGGAAAGAGAUUAGGCAAAAAAAAAAAAAUUUAA